Molecule: long non-coding RNA, 353 nt
Filed under: Brassica rapa (field mustard)
Lineage: Eukaryota; Viridiplantae; Streptophyta; Magnoliopsida; Brassicales; Brassicaceae
Description: long non-coding RNA (BRAP_LNC002056)
Source: RNAcentral
CUCGAUCUCAUCAUUCAACGAAGCUAAACCACCAAGCACGACCUCCAUGUCGGAAGUCUCGCCGGAUUCUUUGCCGGCUCUGAUCAGAACAUUCGCUACAAACGGCACGAACUCCCUCACGAAUAGGUAAUCUUGACCCUGCCACCAAAAACGAAGCCGUUUUAGGCUCACCGAGUGAUUAUUAAUCUUUCGUUUCAUCGGUAAUUCAACAGUACCAGCCAAGUUUUGAAGGAGGAGAGAUCAACGGAUCCGUCGCGGAUGGAGACGACGAAGUCAUGACGUGUAGCUGCCGUGUAUAACGAACGGUGCUUAUCAAGCCACGUGUCGAUCAUGCCUCUCUUCUCUGUUUUCUC